CCCUUAGAUGUUCUGGGCCGCACGCGCGCUACACUGAUGCAUUCAACAAGCCUAGCCUUGACCGAGAGGUCCGGGUAAUCUUUGAAACUGCAUCGUGAUGGGGCUAGAUUAUUGCAAUUAUUAAUCUUCAACGAGGAAUGCCUAGUAAGCGUGAUUCAUCAAAUCGCGUUGAUUACGCCCCUGCCCUUUGUACACACCGCCCGUCGCUCCUACCGAUUGAAUGUGUUGGUGAGGAGCUCGGAUUGGCAGCAGUUGGUGGUUCGCCACCGGCUAUUGCUGAGAAGUCCUCCAAACCGCCCCAUUUAGAGGAAGGAGAAGUCGUAACA
Molecule: ribosomal RNA, 326 nt
Filed under: uncultured eukaryote
Lineage: Eukaryota
Description: partial 18S ribosomal RNA
Rfam family: Eukaryotic small subunit ribosomal RNA
Source: RNAcentral